CUGGGCUGGGCUGAGGGGUCAGGGCCCUGAAGCUGAGGGCCCGGCCCCAGGGGCAGUCGAUUAGGGCCCCAGGGCUGAGAGUUGGGUUGGGGAGGUCAGGGCCCCGAGGCUGAGGGGUGGGCUCUAGGGGUUGGCUGGGUCUUGGGGGAUCAGGUCCCUGGUGCUGGGCUGGGCUGGGGGGUCAGGGCCCUGGAGCUGAGGGCCAGGCCCCAAGGGCAGUCGAUCAGGGCCCCAGGGCUGAGAGUUGG
Long non-coding RNA from Gopherus flavomarginatus (Mexican gopher tortoise), 248 nucleotides. RefSeq lists it as uncharacterized. Lineage: Eukaryota; Metazoa; Chordata; Testudines; Testudinidae. The transcript is spliced from 3 exons. The record is from RefSeq and is a predicted model, not a curated record.